Microcebus murinus (gray mouse lemur) is the source of this 694-nucleotide non-coding RNA. NCBI's taxonomy places the organism in Eukaryota, Metazoa, Chordata, Mammalia, Primates, Cheirogaleidae. The record is from RefSeq and is a predicted model, not a curated record.
AUGACAGAAAGCAUUAAAGAACUGCUGCUCACAAAGUGUUAUGAAACACUGUCUCCUGAUACAUCACUGAGCAGCUGGGAAACAGAAGCAAUCUUCCCUGGAGCUACCAAGCCAAGAAACACCACUACUCCACUAUAGUAUGAGAGUCCAUGUGGAGGGGAUUCAAGGUAUCCCAGCCUACAGUCAACACCAAUUGUCAAACAUGAAUGAGAGCAAAGCCAUCUUAGUCCAUUCAAGCACUACUGGGAUGCCAGCUGAUCACAGCCACAUGAUCCAAGAGGAGAUGGACAGUACAUUGUGGACUCAUAAGAACAUUGAACAUUACCAUGGGAGAGUGAAAAUACAGGAAGGACAUUGAGUAUUGGUCCUUGAGGAGCAAGAACCAUGAAAUGCAGCAGGAAAAGGAGAAGCCAGAGAUGUCUUUUUCCACAGGAAAAUCAGAAGAGUUGCCCUGGCUUCCCAGGAGGAAAGUGAAAGUCAACAAUGGCAGGAAAAGAUGGCCUGGAGCUAAAUGGGAGCAUGCCUUCUGACCAUAUCCUCUCUGACAAGAAGUGGCCGAAUGUCUGCGUACACACCUUCUAGAACAGUGAAUUAAGGAAAGAAUAACUUCUCUGACAACUCUCUUUGAUGAUAUGCAAUUGCUGUUUAUCCUGUAUCUGUUAAUAGAAUAUAAAGAAUGCCUUGAAAAAAGAAA